RNAcentral lists this unclassified non-coding RNA (166 nucleotides) under uncultured fungus. RNAcentral describes it as "sequence contains ITS1". The record is from RNAcentral. Lineage: Eukaryota; Fungi.
CAAUGAGUGUUUAAUGGCACUCUAAAUCCAUUACCCACCUUGUGUGCAAUGUCGGGGAGAACACCCCACUCACUCUUCUGAGAGGGAGGGAUCAUGUUCUUCUUUUCAUACAUACCAACUUUCAGUAUCAGUCUACAUCUAUUUAGAGUAUAAAAAACUCGAAAUA